Non-coding RNA from Taeniopygia guttata (zebra finch), 5271 nucleotides. NCBI's taxonomy places the organism in Eukaryota, Metazoa, Chordata, Aves, Passeriformes, Estrildidae. The record is from RefSeq and is a predicted model, not a curated record.
AGCGCGGCGGGGCGCGCGGCCAGCCCUGCCCGCGGAGCCGCCGUGAGGGGCUCGCUGCGGGAGCGGUCCCGCUUAGCGGGGCAGGAGGGCCCUGAGGUUCGACCGGGGCUCUCCGCGUGUUCACCGGGGAAGCCGCCGAAAACUUGUAAAGCUUGACAGGGAGAGAGGUGAGGGAGUGAGGCAGCACGCUCUGAACAUGACGUGAUGGACUGCAGCUUGUUCAGGGGAAGGGUAUGGCCUGCUCUGCAGGACUGUCACCAAGAUAGUGAUCUUUGUCAAGAAGAGAGACCCCAAGAUCUGGAAAAAUAGCCAUCUGUGAUGCCUUCAUCCAUUUUUCAAAGAGUUGGAUCCCAGUGAUUCAACUGAGCUGAUCAUUGGCAGGCGAAUUGGAGACCCAUUUACAGAGACAACCUGGAGAUGGAGGAGGUCCAAGAACUAAGCUGGAGAAGAAAACAUGCUUAGAUAAUGUGCUGCACACUGGUGGGAGUGAUGGAGGAGAGAGCUGAGCAAAGACAGCUCAGUUUGGACACAUCUCUGAGGAGCCAGAGUAGAGCUGCCUGCAUUGGAAACGGGUGUGAUGUCUGCAGCACAGGUUACUCUUGGCCAGACUGCUUGUCAGCCAACAGGUGAAUCCCCUUAUUAGGUUUCCGUAGCCGGCACAACCCCUCUAGUUCCCCAGGUGGACUCCCGAUACAGCUGUCAAAAAUCUAGUCUGCCAUGCUUCUGUUCCUUAGGGGUUCUUUCCAGCAUCUGGGAAAACUUUCCUUUCUCCUAUGCAUUCCCUUCCCUGUUAGAGAAGACUAGCGAGUAACUUUUCUGCCAUAGUUUUCCUGAGAGUUGUGACGCUCCUGGAAAGAAACCCUACUGGCUGCCUCUGCUGGUUCCUGCUCCAGCCCUGCUGUUACCCCUGAUAUGACCUCUCUUCAAUCCAUGCUGGAACUGAGGUGACCUGCAUUCAUGGGCAUCUUCAUGCAACUGCACAGGCAGAUAGAUCUCCAUGGCCUUCAUGCCCAAGUGGACUGCAGUCCAACAUCUCCCAUGUAUGCUCCUACCCCAGUCUUCAGUGACAUAACCUGUAUUCCUGAAGUCAUCUAUCUCAGAGGUAUUUUCUGUACAGCAAACAUUUUCUUUUUUAGAGAGGCUAAAAACCCUUCAUCAGUUUUCUUUACAGGGUUAUGUGAGGCAUCGGUAUUGUUUUCACACUGAUUAAAUAUCCAAAGUCUCCUUGAAUGGGGAUGAACCCCAGCAGUCCAUAUGGACCAAAAUUCAUUGGCCUACUCUGUGCACCCCACCCACACACCAUACCCAAACCCCUCACUUUGCCAGAGUUUCAGGACUGCUUCAGAGGGGAGUCAAGAUCCAGAGCAGCCUGGCUGACCUGGGGUUUCUUUCCCAAAAUGCCCCCCUUAUGGCACAACAGAUAUAAGGGGUCUGGUCUCCCAGGCCUGCUGAGAAAGAGCUGGGAGGUGCCAGGGAGACUCCAGCUAUGCCAUAGGAGAUGCAGGGCUUGUUUCUGGACCAGGGAGUCUUCAGUGGCCAGGCCUAAAAAUGCUGACACUUUUACAUUGAUAAAGUAAGUGCAGGAAUAGCUCUUUGCAUUUCAGGUGCAGGGCUGUGUAAGAAUGAGGUCCCUUAUGAAUGUGACAGACCUGGCUGGAGAACCAGGAAGAGGCAGCUACAACCCAGGCUGGUGUAGAGCAGGGAGUGCAGAGGGAGGGAGUUAGCAGUGAGGCAGGAGAGAGGUUUUUGACAUCUUAAACCCAAAUGCAAACACUGCGAGAGGAUCGGAAAUGCAAGAAAGUCAUCAGUCAAUGUGCUCCCUAGGCAGAGAGAAGCAGGACACUAAACAGUCUUAUAAUGCUGAGUGAUAUGGUACUUGUAAAAUAGGCUCAGAUCGGGCUGAAAUGGUCACCAGCCAGAGUGAUCAGAGCUCGGUCAAUACUUGCAGGGGAAAUCCACCACCUCCCCACCACUGUGGGGUGUCCCCAGAGGCACCUCUCACUGGGCCAUACACAUCCUUGUAUGAGGGGUCAAACCAGCUUCCUAAUGGGGCCCUUCACUUUUGUUAACAAUGCUGGGAUGUGAGGAGAGCAGAGAGAUCUGUCUGAUUCACAGGGAUGCUCCCAUACCUGCUUCUGUACCCUCCCACUCACGGAAACUUGGCCCAGCCAAUACAUCUGUGCUGAUCUGCCUUUGCAGACAGCUUGUCCCCUGCAUUUUUAGUUGGUUACUCUGAAAGUCUGAAAAACAACAACUGGUUUUAGUGUUAUCUCUUUUGGAGCCAGCCACUUCCUCUUGGUAUCAAACUUGGAAGAACCCCAUAGCCACUGCUGAAAAGCCUUUUCCCUUUCCACAUUUAAAGAUCUUUUCCAAAAGUGGUUGCUAGGAUGUCUUUGGUGGUGAUUGAAAGGCUUGGAACAAGCCAAUGCAAGUGUUCGUUUUAUUGAAAAUGAGCAGGAUGUUCUUCCCUGAUAGCUGCCUGACUUUGAGGGCUGGAAUCACAGGAAAGCAGCCACAGCUCCAGGGCAGCUUAGCAGAGGAGGAAAGUAAUGGUUUUUCUGUGCUGCAUGGUAACACAAAGGCAGGAAACCAAAGAGCAGGAUUCACUUGGUGUGGAGCAAACCCUGCCAUCCAAAACAGCACUGUUCUGGCUCAGGUGGAUGUAUGUGGAGGCUCCCAGGUGCCUCCCUGAUCUCCAGCUUAGCUGAGCCAGCUGUGCCCAUCCCACAUCCCUGCUGCUGGCAGCCACAGCUGGGGAGGAGCAGGCACUUCUCAACCCACCAUGCUCCCCACCACAAUCUACUUUGGGAGAGAACUGUGAGCAGAUUUUUUAUACUGGAAAGCAGUUAUACAGGCAUUGUAUUUCUUUUUUCAGGGAUAGAAUGAAAACUUCCAAUUCCCAAGCCAUUAGGACAGCACUUUUCAACCAUAAUAGGUAUACAUAAUCAAACAUAGAAGCCAGGCACAGUAUAAAGUUUUCUUUCCCUUUCAAGCAUCCCAUCUCUUCCUGGGACUCCCUCACUAGCAUACAAGGCUAGGCCUGAGAAAUUGCAAGCUGGAAUACAUUAAAAUCCAUUGGAGCUGAAUUUUAACAUGAAGAGUUGCCAAAACAGUACUACCAGCAUGGCUCUAUGAGGCAAACCCUUCCAGAAUGGUUUACUUUCACAAAGUAGUGUUUUCACCAGUCUGGUUUUAAACAGUUUUCUGACAUAAUGAAAUUCCAAGGACUCCUUUGCUGAAUAACCUUGGCAGAUUAAUGUCUUUUCUUAGCUAGGGAGGGAGCAGACAGAAUUCACAUGCCAAACCCCAAAACUCUACAGGAAAACUUCUGCUGAGUGCAAACUGAGCCUCAGUUUGUCAGUGUUUGAGAAGGUACUUUGUAGAUGUCAUGAAGAAGUCCUCAGACUAAAGAUGUGAAUGAGGGCAGGGCACAACUGGUAGAUAAGGUGAUCCUGGCUACAAACCUGCUUCUUCUGCUGCUUUACAGGUCUCCAUAUCUUUAACAGAGAGAGUUAGAGCAAGGACAAAAAUGCUGAACCUCUCCCAGCUCUGGUAGUUGUGGAGAAGCGACAUAGGGGCUUGGAGCACCAGCCUCUGUUAGGUGUAAAUACAAACCACUGAAAAGCAUCAGAACUUUCCCACUGAAGUAAAGGCAUCGGGAACAGGAGAUUAAUGGGUUGCCAGCUGUGUUGGCAUGAUAAGCCAAGCAAGAACCCAGACUCUCAGUCGAAAAUGGAUUGAGACCUCAGCAGGGACACAUGGCAAAUCAGCCAGAAGUCACACAUGGAAAACUGAGCAAGGCAGCAUGGGCAAACAUUCCUUAUCUUCACUUUACGUCAAUAGAAAUGGCAUUGUAAAAGAGGCAGCAAAGUAUUUGCUGGAGAGGAGGAGUGAAAAGUCCACAAACUUUCUUGGCUGUACAUGUAGGUUUUAAAAUGCUACUGUUUUCCUCGGAAACUUGUCAUUGAAAACAAGCAUCCAGCAAAAACCACCCAGCAAGUUCUUCCAGAAGGCUUGUUUGCUUGUUUUGGUGGAUUUAGCUGAGCUGUGCUGGCAGGAAUCUGCCUGCCACUGCUGUUGUGCUCCAAAGGCGGUUGGGAAAGUACAACCUCUUAAACCAGUCUAAAGCACAGCUGUGAUAAUUACACCAUCUACUAUGAUUUGCCACAAAAUAAGAGUCAGGGGAGAGGCAGACCUCAGAAGUCUGGGCUUUCUACAAGGUGAUGUUGUCUGCAGCCACAUCCCUGUUUCCCACAGCUCCUGCUUUUACACUUUUACAGCAGCCUAGCCUAAUUACCUCCAUUGGCCUUUUCUUUGUGUUCUAGUUUUAUUGUUUUUGUUAAGGCUAAUUAACAGAGGAGUGGAUGAGUCCCAGUUUUCUUGUGUAGAUUUUUUUUUUUUUUGGUGGUGGUGGUGUUACUUUUUAUUUUGCUGAGUUUUCCUUUUGCUUUUAAGCAAUUGUAUGUAAGAAAAUAAUCUUUCCUACCAGAGGCAAUACUGAGAAAGAAGAAGACUCAGCAAGGAGAAUAACAAUUAAGGUAAAGCCAUGAGGUUUUGCCUCCUUCUCUCUCCAUUUUGCAGCCCCACCCUGAGUGGGUAAUGGGCCCUGACUGCAACUCUGCUGUCAGUGCCCUGGAGCAGGGAAAGGCACAAAUAUUCCCUCCACACAGGUGUGCAGGUGUCAGUGGGAGGUGAGCUGGGAGAAAAAACAGGCUGGGAUAAACACAGCUGAAGCCUCACAGCCUGGAUCUGUAUGGCCCCUGGAUCCAUCCCUGCCCUGCAGAUCCUUGGGCUGGCCGCUGGUCGGAGCAAAGCUCAUGGCUGGGUUAUGGGUAGGGCUGGGAUCACUGCAGCUGGGUGUCUUAGGGCAGGGCCACCCACUGCACACCGGUGGGGAGCUGCAAAUCCCCACUCCAGAUGCACAGGGCUCUGCAGGGACUUUAGCUGAGUGCCUGGGAGCUGGUUCUGGAAACAUAAAGGUGCUCUGUCAAAAGAUCCAGUUGUUCAGGUAUCAAAGUAAAGAUAUUAAUAAAAUUAACCUCAAAAUAGUGGUAAAACAGUGUAUUUUCAUAUAAUGUCAUAAUUAAGGAACACAGAGUCUCUGUGUUUGCAGUCCCUGACACCAUAGUGAUGGACAUGAUUCAGGAACAGAUACAGAUGACCCAGUAGCUGAGUGACUGAGCAUCUCCCUCUUAACAUACGCAUGGAGAAAAUGAAUGGAAAAACUGGAAUGGAGAAAAUGGAAAAUCCAUGGUGCUGCACUGCUUUCUG